GUUGGGUAGGGGAGCGUUCUGUAAGCCUGUGAAGGUGGCCUGUGAGGGUUGCUGGAGGUAUCAGAAGUGCGAAUGCUGACAUAAGUAACGAUAAAGCGGGUGAAAAGCCCGCUCGCCGGAAGACCAAGGGUUCCUGUCCAACGUUAAUCGGGGCAGGGUGAGUCGACCCCUAAGGCGAGGCCGAAAGGCGUAGUCGAUGGGAAACGGGUUAAUAUUCCCGUACUUGGUGUUACUGCGAAGGGGGGACGGAGAAGGCUAUGUUGGCCGGGCGACGGUUGUCCCGGUUUAAGCGUGUAGGUGUGUGUUCCAGGUAAAUCCGGUUCACUUUAACACUGAGGCGUGAUGACGAGGCACUACGGUGCUGAAGCAACAAAUGCCCUGCUUCCAGGAAAAGCCUCUAAGCAUCAGGUAACAUCAAAUCGUACCCCAAACCGACACAGGUGGUCAGGUAGAGAAUACCAAGGCGCUUGAGAGAACUCGGGUGAAGGAACUAGGCAAAAUGGUGCCGUAACUUCGGGAGAAGGCACGCUGACAC
This 535-nucleotide ribosomal RNA is filed under the name Salmonella enterica subsp. enterica serovar Kentucky. Its description in RNAcentral is "partial 23S ribosomal RNA". It matches the Rfam family "Bacterial large subunit ribosomal RNA", at positions 1223 to 1757 of the family's 2925-position model. Lineage: Bacteria; Pseudomonadati; Pseudomonadota; Gammaproteobacteria; Enterobacterales; Enterobacteriaceae. The record is from RNAcentral.